Long non-coding RNA from Topomyia yanbarensis, 2132 nucleotides. RefSeq lists it as uncharacterized. The record is from RefSeq and is a predicted model, not a curated record. The transcript has 3 exons. NCBI's taxonomy places the organism in Eukaryota, Metazoa, Arthropoda, Insecta, Diptera, Culicidae.
AGCGUGGGAAAUUUUAUCAUCGCAAAAUUUUAUAUCAGCACAACAGCUAUACCAAAAGCGAUACCACGUCGAUGGCCGAAAUGAUUUUUGGUUCUGCACCUAUAGUCUUCCAGGACAGCAGUUUGAAGUAGCCAACAGUAGCAGCAACAGCAGUAAAAAAGUAUCCACUUCCACCUACUUGGGCUAUGAACUGCCAAGUAUCGGUCAGAAUGCACUAUACAACGGCCGACAUACGUCGGAAAGUGAUCGUAGCUCCAUAGGUACAACGUCACUACGGUCGUUUACUGUUACUUCGUCCACUUUGACGUAAUAUGAUACUUCGUACAACCACAGACAAAGGCCACCACUGCCAAUCGAGUUUGCGCAUUUGGAGCAUCUGGCAGAUCCGAGACUUUCAACCAAAAGUGGCCUUGACUCAGGGUAUGGUGGAACGGAACCUUGGGCGUUUUCAUCAUGUCAACCACGCCAUCGCACCGAAGCAGUCUAGCAUCAAUUUCUAGUGAUUUCGAAGACUUAGUUUAGAUACCAGUAUUGAUAUUCCACAGCCUCUGAAUUGCACAAGUUUAGACAACUAAAGUCAGUAUGGCAGCUUUCAUCGAGGUCAAUACGAACAUUAGCAGUCAAGUGACAGCGAGCGAUGGUUGCGCCGGUGGUAAAAAUCGACGGAAUAGUGAAACCAUAGUACUGACUAGACAAAAAGCGUUUAGCGGGGAAGUUCUUUCCACUGCAACCAAUUAUCGCGGGAGACCUUUGCACAAAAAGGCACGUCUAGGAAUUGUGCUGUGCGUUCAACUAAACGAUGACAUGCUGCAGGAAAUUGAAGCAUUCAGCUCGGAACACAUGAGUAUAUUUGAAUCAAUGCUGUGUCGUUUAAGAAUGGCGGCGGAAAACGCAAGCUACAGGUAGCCGCAGUUACUCCAGAUAAUGCUGGCUGCCGGCAUAACGCAGCAGUGCCCAGUGGAUUUUUUUACUGUACCCAAACUGGUAAAUUCCAUGUGGCUAACGCUAAGCAGUGGUGCGUGCACUCUUGGAACUCAAAGCAGUACAUGUUCUAAUCGGGCUGCGCUUAAAAUUGAUAAUAAUUUUAUGAACGAUCUUUGUUACCUGCUAUUGCUGGCCGACAUUAAGGAUACACAUUUUUUCAUCAGCGCACUACUAACGGCGAUAUUAAAGUACUACCUGGGCUGGGUGAGUACCAUUGCCCCUGUGAGUGGUUCUGCUUACGAAGCAGAUACAGAUUGUGCUACAAUACAGCGAUAGAAGGAGAAGCGGUGCAAACUAACUACCAAUCACCCGUACAUCGUACUGUGGGUCCAAUGUAGCUAUUUGUAUGGAACCGUCGGACACCCGGUGAAACUGUCGAGAAAAAUCUGCAGAAGCCCCCAAUUGAGCAAUACCAUGGAUAAAAUUCUAAAUGAGCUAUCUUACUUCGUAAGAUGUAGCGAGAUCAAGCGGGUUGUCCUCGUAGAGGCUUUCGACGAGUAUAAAGCUGAGCAGGCAUUCGCUGCGCAAAAGAUUAUAAAUAAUUAUUCGCUCCUUAUGUUAAUUGUUAACUUUAACCAAAAAUGCUUUUCCUUGACCUGAUGUACAGUGUAAACUAACAGAUUUUCGUACGUAAUAAAACUGCAAAAUUACGAAAAAUACAAAUUAUAGCAACAGUGUCAUAAGGUUUGGUGGAAAUAACUGUGGAGAAAAUAGAGGAUUACACAAAUCCCCCAGAUUCUUGCGAUCCGGAUCUGCGAUGGUUCGUUCGGCAACCACGACCAAAGACUAAACUUCGAUGGCUGGUAAUGAAUAAGUCUUGCUGAGAGCGAACUGGUCGGAGUUAUGUCAGACCGGGCUAAGUGACAAUAUAUUGAUUUCUAGAAAAGCAAGUUUAAAGUUUAAAUUGCAGCAUACUUUAUAUUGUAUAUACUAUUGAAGAAAGGAUAACAGUUGACUGAACAGUUCCAGAUUGCCAUUCGUAUUAGUUUCCAGACUAGUGUCCGACUGAAAGUUGGGAAGGGCGUAUGCAAGUUGGUUACUUAUAUGGCUGAAACUAGAAUAUAGUUAUUGCGUUUUUUGCUAUAGCAUACCAUCCGAGAAUACACAAUUGAUAGCUUCAUAAACUAACCGGUUCCAUGUAAUUUUAC